UACGGGGGGAGCAAGCGUUGUUCGGAUUUACUGGGCGUAAAGGGCGCGUAGGCGGUCAGCACAAGUCAGUUGUGAAAUCUCCGGGCUUAACUCGGAAAGGUCAACUGACACUGUGCGACUAGAGUGCGGAAGGGGCAACUGGAAUUCCCGGUGUAGCGGUGAAAUGCGCAGAUAUCAGGAAGAACACCCGUGGCGAAGGCGGCUCUCUGGGACGGUACUGACGCUGAGACGCGAAAGCGUGGGGAGCGAACAGG
This 254-nucleotide ribosomal RNA is filed under the name uncultured bacterium. Its description in RNAcentral is "partial 16S ribosomal RNA". It matches the Rfam family "Bacterial small subunit ribosomal RNA", at positions 524 to 776 of the family's 1533-position model. The record is from RNAcentral.